Molecule: ribosomal RNA, 1026 nt
Filed under: Blumeria graminis
Lineage: Eukaryota; Fungi; Ascomycota; Leotiomycetes; Helotiales; Erysiphaceae
Description: SSU rRNA
Rfam family: Eukaryotic small subunit ribosomal RNA
Source: RNAcentral
CAUUUAUACCGUGAAACUGCGAAUGGCUCAUUAAAUCAGUUAUCGUUUAUUUGAUAGUACCUUACUACUUGGAUAACCGUGGUAAUUCUAGAGCUAAUACAUGCUAAAAGCCCCGACUUCGGAAGGGGUGUAUUUAUUAGAUAAAAAACCAAUGCCCUUCGGGGCUCCUUGGUGAUUCAUAAUAACUUAACGAAUCGCAUGGCCUUGUGCCGGCGAUGGUUCAUUCAAAUUUCUGCCCUAUCAACUUUCGAUGGUAGUAUAUGGGACUACCAUGGUUUCAACGGGUAACGGGGAAUUAGGGUUCUAUUCCGGAGAGGGAGCCUGAGAAACGGCUACCACAUCCAAGGAAGGCAGCAGGCGCGCAAAUUACCCAAUCCCGACACGGGGAGGUAGUGACAAUAAAUACUGAUACAGGGCUCUUUUGGGUCUUGUAAUUGGAAUGAGUACAAUUUAAAUCCCUUAACGAGGAACAAUUGGAGGGCAAGUCUGGUGCCAGCAGCCGCGGUAAUUCCAGCUCCAAUAGCGUAUAUUAAAGUUGUUGCAGUUAAAAAGCUCGUAGUUGAACCUUGGGCCUGGCUGGCCGGUCCGCCUCACCGCGUGCACUGGUCCGGCCGGGUCUUUCCUCCUGGGGAGCCACAUGCCCUUCACUGGGUGUGUUGGGGAACCAGGACUUUUACUUUGAAAAAAUUAGAGUGUUCAAAGCAGGCCUAUGCUCGAAUACAUUAGCAUGGAAUAAUAGAAUAGGACGUGUGGUUCUAUUUUGUUGGUUUCUAGGACCGCCGUAAUGAUUAAUAGGGAUAGUCGGGGGCAUCAGUAUUCAAUUGUCAGAGGUGAAAUUCUUGGAUUUAUUGAAGACUAACUACUGCGAAAGCAUUUGCCAAGGAUGUUUUCAUUAAUCAGUGAACGAAAGUUAGGGGAUCGAAGACGAUCAGAUACCGUCGUAGUCUUAACCAUAAACUAUGCCGACUAGGGAUCGGGCGAUGUUAUUUUUUUGACUCGCUCGGCACCUUACGAGAAAUCAAAGUC